RNAcentral lists this long non-coding RNA (932 nucleotides) under Taeniopygia guttata (zebra finch). RNAcentral's name for it is "lncRNA (ENSTGUG00000021740.1)". The record is from RNAcentral. Lineage: Eukaryota; Metazoa; Chordata; Aves; Passeriformes; Estrildidae.
UUGACAUUUUUACAUUAAAAAUCCACAUUUGACCCAAAUUUCCCCAUUUUUAACCUCAAAAUUGACAUUUUUACGUCCAAAAAUCCCAAUUAAAAAAAACCCAAACAAUUUUAACCCCAACAUUGACAUUUUUACACCCAAAAACUCCCAUUGGUCACUCAGGAAGGCCGAUGGUCACUCAGGGGUCACUCAGCGGUCACUCAGGGGUCACUCUGGGGUCACUCAGGGAGGUCGGUGGUCACUCAGGGGUCACUCAGGGAGGCCGAUGGUCACUCAGGGAGGCCGAUGGUCACUUGGUGGUCACUCAGGGGUCACUCGGGGUCACUCGGGGUCACUCGGGCAGGUCGAUGACCAGCUCGUCGUCCCCGUCCAGGGAAGGUCGGUGGUCACUCGGUGGUCACUCAGGGAGGUCGAUGGUCACUCAGGAAGGCCGAUGGUCACUCAGCGGUCACUCAGUGGUCACUCGGGCAGGUCGAUGACCAGCUCGUCGUCCCCGUCCAGGGAAGGUCGGUGGUCACUCAGGGAGGUCAGUGGUCACUCAGGGGUCACUCGGGGUCACUCGGGCAGGUCGAUGACCAGCUCGUCGUCCCCGUCCAGGGGGUCGUCGCUGCCCUCCCCCUCCCCCUCCCCGCCCCCGGGGCCGCUCAGGAGCCGCCGGGGCAGCGUGGGGGGCACGGGGGGCGGGGCCGGGGGCGGGGCCAGCGCCGGGGGGAGGGGCGAGCCGGGGCCACGCCCCCCGCCCAGCCCCGCCCCCGCCUCGCCCCCAGGGAGGGGCAGAGGGGGAGGGGCCGGAGGGGGCUGGGGGGGAAGAGAAGGGGGGGAGGGGUCAGUGAGUGACCACUGAGUGACCGCUGACCCCUCCUUGACCCCCAUGACCCCUCCCCAUUUAACCCCACCCCUUUCCCCUUUUAACCCCGCCUUUUUUCUUAAGC